ACAGAAUUUUCAUUUUUGGGUGAACUAACCCUUCAAUAUUGGGUGAAAUAUGACCCAGACCUUUUUUGUGAGACUAAAAUCUACAUGUAAAUAUAAACCCAACUAAACAGUUUUUGGAGAUGCCAAAUGAUUCAGAUUCGGGCACGACUGCACAGUUUCUUAUUGGCACUGAAAAAGCGAUGAUGAAAUGUGACUGUUAGAGAUCAUAAGAAUGGAAACUCUAGUUUUUUUGUGAUUGCUGCUGUUGGCCCUUUGCUUUUGUUUUUUUGGAAAUACAUGGCACAGUUUUGCACAAAUUUGACACUUGUGGUAACCAUUGCUGUAUCCCAUUCUGUUAAACUGCAUACACUAACCUACCAGCUGCACUACAUCUGUUUUUUCUUAAAUUUACUUUUGAAUUACAUAUUCGCAUGUCAUUUCUUUUCCAAAACAAGGCCGAAGUGUUGUCUUUUAACUGAUUAGUGAAAUUCUGUCCUUUCGCUUUGUUUCCAUGGUGACCGGCAUUACCGCCUCCCCCCCGCUGAUUGAUUGACAGUAAAUGAGCCGGUGUGGGCGGGGCCUCUGUGUUCUCAUUAGCAGUUGAUGUUCCUCUGUUAAUCAGUGAAGAAAACAAUGUUAUGUAUUGAUCAAAUUUUUUUUUUUUUAUUUAUACUAGUGCUAGAGUUGUACAAUAUGGAGAAUUUUAUGUAUGAUUAAUGAUUUGAUUGUACAUUAAAAAAAAUAUGUAAAAAUCUAGCACUAUUAUAAAAU
Molecule: long non-coding RNA, 750 nt
Organism: Sinocyclocheilus rhinocerous
Lineage: Eukaryota; Metazoa; Chordata; Actinopteri; Cypriniformes; Cyprinidae
Exons: 4
Source: RefSeq, a predicted model, not a curated record